GCGUCCGUAGCUCAGCUGGAUAGAGCGCCGGACUUCGAAUCCGUAGGUCGCAGGUUCGAGUCCUGCCGGGCGUG
RNAcentral lists this transfer RNA (74 nucleotides) under Spirochaetales bacterium. RNAcentral's name for it is "tRNA-Arg". It matches the Rfam family "tRNA". From Rfam's summary of the family: Transfer RNA (tRNA) molecules are approximately 80 nucleotides in length. RNAcentral also lists the same sequence under 2 other names. Lineage: Bacteria; Pseudomonadati; Spirochaetota; Spirochaetia; Spirochaetales. The record is from RNAcentral.